GACGAACGCUGGCGGCGUGCUUAACACAUGCAAGUCGAACGGAAAGGCCCUGCUUUUGUGGGGUGCUCGAGUGGCGAACGGGUGAGUAACACGUGAGUAACCUGCCCUGGACUGUGGGAUAACUUCAGGAAACUGGGGCUAAUACCGGAUAGGAGCGCCUGCUGCAUGGUGGUGGUCGGAAAGUUUCGGCGGUUGGGGAUGGACUCGCGGCUUAUCAGCUUGUGGGUGGGGUAGUGGCUUACCAAGGCUUUGACGGGUAGCCGGCCUGAGAGGGUGACCGGCCACCUUGGGACUGCGAUACGGCCCAGACUCCUACGGGGGGCAGCAGUGGGGAGUAUUGCACAAUGGUCGGAAGCCUGUUGAAGCAACGCCGCGUGCGGGAUGACGGCCUUCGGGUUGUAAACCGCUUUCGCCUGUGACGAAGCGUGAGUGACGGUAAUGGGUAAAGAAGCACCGGCUAACUACGUG
RNAcentral lists this ribosomal RNA (468 nucleotides) under uncultured bacterium. RNAcentral's name for it is "partial 16S ribosomal RNA". It matches the Rfam family "Bacterial small subunit ribosomal RNA", at positions 28 to 507 of the family's 1533-position model. The record is from RNAcentral.